ACCAGGUGCUCCGGCAGUUCGCAGCUUGCUUGAACUGUUCACUGAAAAACCCUAGUGUCUGACAAAAAUCCCUUAUAAAUGCUCUUCAAAACCCUCUCUAUGUCCGCCUCUUCCACUCUUACACUUCUCUCUUCAGUCCCAUCUUAGAAGCUUAGCCCUAUUUCUCUUUCCAUCUUUCUUGCUCCAUGGAAUUCUGGGGUGUUGA
Molecule: unclassified non-coding RNA, 205 nt
Filed under: Hevea brasiliensis (rubber tree)
Lineage: Eukaryota; Viridiplantae; Streptophyta; Magnoliopsida; Malpighiales; Euphorbiaceae
Source: RNAcentral